AUUGAACGCUGGCGGCAUGCCUUACACAUGCAAGUCGAACGGCAGCGGACCUUCGGGUGCCGGCGAGUGGCGAACGGGUGAGUAAAGUAUCGGAACGUACCUUUCAGUGGGGGAUAACUGUCCGAAAGGACAGCUAAUACCGCAUAUUCUGUGAGCAGGAAAGCAGGGGAUCGCAAGACCUUGCGCUGAUUGAGCGGCCGAUAUCAGAUUAGCUAGUUGGUGAGGUAAAGGCUCACCAAGGCGACGAUCUGUAGCGGGUCUGAGAGGAUGAUCCGCCACACUGGAACUGAGACACGGUCCAGACUCCUACGGGAGGCAGCAGUGGGGAAUUUUGGACAAUGGGGGCAACCCUGAUCCAGCCAUGCCGCGUGAGUGAAGAAGGCCUCGGUU
RNAcentral lists this ribosomal RNA (390 nucleotides) under uncultured bacterium. RNAcentral's name for it is "bacterial SSU rRNA". It matches the Rfam family "Bacterial small subunit ribosomal RNA", at positions 30 to 424 of the family's 1533-position model. The record is from RNAcentral.